CGCCCGUAGCUCAGCUGGAUAGAGCACCAGACUACGAAUCUGGGGGUCAGGAGUUCGAAUCUCUUCGGGCGCGCCA
This 76-nucleotide transfer RNA is filed under the name Mesorhizobium sp. RNAcentral describes it as "tRNA-Arg". It matches the Rfam family "tRNA". From Rfam's summary of the family: Transfer RNA (tRNA) molecules are approximately 80 nucleotides in length. Their secondary structure includes four short double-helical elements and three loops (D, anti-codon, and T loops). Further hydrogen bonds mediate the characteristic L-shaped molecular structure. tRNAs have two regions of fundamental functional importance: the anti-codon, which is responsible for specific mRNA codon recognition, and the 3' end, to which the tRNAs corresponding amino acid is attached (by aminoacyl-tRNA synthetases). tRNAs cope with the degeneracy of the genetic code in two manners: having more than one tRNA (with a specific anti-codon) for a particular amino acid; and 'wobble' base-pairing, i.e. permitting non-standard base-pairing at the 3rd anti-codon position. Lineage: Bacteria; Pseudomonadati; Pseudomonadota; Alphaproteobacteria; Hyphomicrobiales; Phyllobacteriaceae. The record is from RNAcentral.